UACGGAGGGUGCGAGCGUUGUUCGGAAUCACUGGGCGUAAAGCGCGUGUAGGCGGCCCAUUAAGUCUGAUGUGAAAGCCCGGGGCUCACCCCCGGAAGUGCAUUGGAAACUGAUGGACUCGAGUCCCGGAGAGGAGAGUGGAAUUCCUGGUGUAGCGGUGAAAUGCGUAGAUAUCAGGAGGAACACCGGUGGCGAAGGCGGCUCUCUGGACGGUGACUGACGCUGAGACGCGAAAGCCAGGGGAGCGAACGGG
Molecule: ribosomal RNA, 253 nt
Filed under: uncultured bacterium
Lineage: Bacteria
Description: partial 16S ribosomal RNA
Rfam family: Bacterial small subunit ribosomal RNA
Source: RNAcentral